This 460-nucleotide ribosomal RNA is filed under the name uncultured bacterium. Its description in RNAcentral is "partial 16S ribosomal RNA". It matches the Rfam family "Bacterial small subunit ribosomal RNA", at positions 338 to 795 of the family's 1533-position model. The record is from RNAcentral.
CCUACGGGAGGCAGCAGUGAGGAAUAUUGGUCAAUGGACGCAAGUCUGAACCAGCCAUGCCGCGUGCAGGAAGACGGCUCUAUGAGUUGUAAACUGCUUUUGUACGAGGGUAAACGCAGAUACGCGUAUCUGUCUGAAAGUAUCGUACGAAUAAGGAACGGAUAACUCCGUGCCAGCAGACGCGGUAAUACGGAGGAUUCAAGCGUUAUCCGGAUUUAUUGGGUUUAAAGGGUGCGUAGGCGGUCGGAUAAGUUAGAGGUGAAAUCCCGAGGCUCAACUUCGGAAUUGCCUCUGAUACUGUUCGGCUAGAGAGUAGUUGCGGUAGGCGGAAUGUAUGGUGUAGCGGUGAAAUGCUUAGAGAUCAGACAGAACACCGAUUGCGAAGGCGGCUUACCAAGCUACUUCUGACGUUGAGGCACGAAAGCGUGGGGAGCAAACAGGAUUAGAUACCCUUGUAGUC